GACGAACGCUGGCGGCGUGCCUAAUACAUGCAAGUCGAGCGGACUUUCAAGAAGCUUGCUUUUUGAAAGUUAGCGGCGGACGGGUGAGUAACACGUGGGCAACCUGCCUGCAAGACUGGGAUAACUCCGGGAAACCGGGGCUAAUACCGGAUAAUAUCUUCCUUCGCAUGAAGGAAGGUUGAAAGGCGGCGCAAGCUGCCGCUUGCAGAUGGGCCCGCGGCGCAUUAGGUAGUUGGUGAGGUAACGGCUCACCAAGGCGACGAUGCGUAGCCGACCUGAGAGGGUGGUCGGCCACACUGGGACUGGGACACGGCCCAGACUCCUACGGGAGGCAGCAGUAGGGAAUCUUCCGCAAUGGACGAAAGUCUGACGGAGCAACGGCGCGUGAGCGAAGAAGGUCUUCGGAUCGUAAAGAUCGGUUGUCAGGGAAGAACAAGUACCGUUCGAACAGGGCGGUACCUUGACGGUACCUGACCAGAAAGCCACGGCUAACUACGUG
RNAcentral lists this ribosomal RNA (499 nucleotides) under uncultured bacterium. RNAcentral describes it as "partial 16S ribosomal RNA". It matches the Rfam family "Bacterial small subunit ribosomal RNA", at positions 28 to 507 of the family's 1533-position model. The record is from RNAcentral.